AGUGAACGCUGGCGGUAGGCCUAACACAUGCAAGUCGAACGGCAGCACAGUAAGAGCUUGCUCUUACGGGUGGCGAGUGGCGGACGGGUGAGGAAUACAUCGGAAUCUACUUUUUCGUGGGGGAUAACGUAGGGAAACUUACGCUAAUACCGCAUACGACCUACGGGUGAAAGCAGGGGAUCUUCGGACCUUGCGCGAUUGAAUGAGCCGAUGUCGGAUUAGCUAGUUGGCGGGGUAAAGGCCCACCAAGGCGACGAUCCGUAGCUGGUCUGAGAGGAUGAUCGGCCGCACGGGAACUGAGACACGGUCCAGACUCCUACGGGAGGCAGCAGUGGGGAAUAUUGGACAAUGGGCGCAAGCCUGAUCCAGCCAUACCGCGUGGGUGAAGAAGGCCUUCGGGUUGUAAAGCCCUUUUGUUGGGAAAGAAAAGCAGCAGGUUAAUACCCCGCUGUUCUGACGGUACCCAAAGAAUAAGCACCGGCUAACUUCGUG
This 492-nucleotide ribosomal RNA is filed under the name uncultured bacterium. Its description in RNAcentral is "partial 16S ribosomal RNA". It matches the Rfam family "Bacterial small subunit ribosomal RNA", at positions 29 to 507 of the family's 1533-position model. The record is from RNAcentral.